RNAcentral lists this long non-coding RNA (752 nucleotides) under Homo sapiens (human). RNAcentral describes it as "MIR646 host gene". Lineage: Eukaryota; Metazoa; Chordata; Mammalia; Primates; Hominidae. The record is from RNAcentral.
AUUCUGCCGCCCAUUUUACCCGCGGGGAAGCUGAGGCCCAGUGCUGUUUAAUAUCUUACUCAUGUUCACUUGAUGAGAAAGUGACAGAUCUGAGACAAACCCAGAGGUUAUGACACCAGCCAUGGAAGAGCAGAGAGGCCAAUGAGGUGGGGAGGUUGGAAACAAAAGGCCUUCUCCACCCCAGCUUGACCAACCCAAAAGCUGGAAGGCAAGGAAGACCUAGAAUUCCAUUUUCUGGAUGUACCACAGUUCAUUCAACCAUCCCCUACUAAUGGACACUUAAGAUCGACAGAAAAGAAAUGAGUCAACGAUGGUGCAGGUGAUCUGUGCAGUGCUGUGCAGGGGAUGGGUCAAAGCUGUGAUGCUGGCAUGCAACUAACUCACCAUUGUGAGCCAAUCACAAAAGCAGAAACUUGGCCAAGCUGAAAGGGACCAGCUUGACGAAGCUUCUGCUUUUGUGACUGUCUCCUAAUGAAACCAGAGCACCUCAGAAGAUCAAGGCUUCCAAAUUCUCCUGGGGGAACAGACGUCAGCCAUUCAGCACAAAGGAAACUUCCUUCUCUGUAUGUCAGAGGAAGACAUAAUUGUGCCAUUUCCUUCUUGAAGAAGUUUACAAACAUUUGCAAGUUGUCAAAAAUAAUUAGUCUAAAAUUGUUUCAUAAACCGUGGAAUGAAACAGGACGUGCCUUGUUGAGAUCAAAGGGCUUCUGUUACCUUCUUGUAAACUCAAAUGAAAUUCUUUUGAAAGUAAA